AUGGCCGCCGCCGCGUUCUCCAUCAGGGCGUACGCGGCGAGCAUGAGGGGCGGGACGGCGGGGGGGCGGCGUCUCUUGGGAAUCGAGGAUCUCCCGCCUCUCGGAGCGCCGAGGUGCCGGUGGUGGGCGGACGAGCUCGCCUCCACCGUGGCUGCCGCAGCUGCGGCGGCGGCAUCCUCGAGGAGGGCGCAAGUGAAGGCGAAGCCGCCGAAGAAGCGGUCCAUCUCCGACCUCUUCGCCGCGGCGCCCCCCUUGGCCGUGCCUCCCGCCGGUGAUACCGGAUGCAAAGAGCAAAUGGAGGUGGACGGCGACGAGGCGGUGUGCGCGAUCGCGAGGCGGGCCAAGGAGGAUAAGAAACGAAAGAAAAAGCUGCAAGAAGAGGAAGAGGGGCAGAAGGAGGAGACGACGGCAGUGGAUGCCGCGCCGGAGAGCUGCGGAGGCCGAGAGGCCGAGGGGAAUUUCGCUGCAAGAAAGCAGGAAGCACUUGAAAAUCCAAACCUGUUUGAUGGACUGGAUACUCACUCAUUACAGAAACCUGAGGCUUCACAACAUCACAGAGAAGAGAGAGAAAAGAUAUCUGAGAGAAGGAAGCAGGGGAAGAUCAAUAAUAUAAACAAGAAGAAGGCUAACACACAAAAGCACAUCGGCAACAGUAAAGCUGACAAAGUGGGGAAACCACGAGAUCUGGAAAAUUUUAUCCCUAGGCAUGGCAUUCUAAAGUGCACAAAGCACACAUCAGUGAAAAUGGUCAAGGAGAAACGUGGCAAUUCAGAAGGCAAGGAAGUAAUAGAACUCUGCCGCAAAUCAGUGAAACGUGUCAAAUUCUCAGAAGCAGAUGCUAUACUUGAGCUACCAGAACGACAAACUCUCUGCAAGAUGUUUUCAGAUAUUAUGGCUUCUUCAUCGUCGUCCUCGUCAUCAUCAUCAUCAUUCACGUCUACCGAAGGAGACAAAUGCAUAACUGCAGAAAGUGGUGGUUCUCAUAUGCCCAUGGAAGCUUCCACUAAGGCGAAAGCAAAUAAGAAUUCAGAUCAUGAGGAUUCUCCUGACAAAAGCAUAACUGCAGAAAGUGGUACUUCUCAUAUUGCCAUGGAAGCUUUCACUAAGAAGAAAGAAGCAAAUAAGAAUUCAGAUCAUGAGGAUUCUCCUGAGGCUGGUAACAGAGAGAUGGCUGCUCCUCUCAUUGAUCUGAAUAUGGUGUUACCGGAAUCUACUGAACUGGACCAAAGGCUGGAAAGCGAACAAUCUACUGCUGACUUGGAAAGAAUAACGAAUUCAAGUUCGGCAGGCACAUUAUUGCAUGGUGGGGCUAUAAAAGUUUCUGAUGUAGAUGCUGCUGGUUCUCCAUUGAGCUUAACUGAACUUGCACAGACUCAUCGUGGUUGCAGUAAUGUUUCAGUAAAAGAUACUAUGACUAUGAGUACAUCUCCUUGUGCAUUGCCAGAUCAUACAUUUCCGGAUUCAUUUCGGCAGCACCAGAGUUGGUUUUCCACAAGCGGCAAAUUUUCUUCCUGGCCAUCUCAUGAAUCUAAUGUGUCACACAGUAAGGAGUUCAAUUUUCGUUCUGAGUUGAACAUUCCGCGUGAGAAUGGACCUUCCACAGGACCGACAGUUCGUUUGAUGGGUAAAGAUCUUUCAAUUUGCACGACCAGAGCUGAAUCGUUUUCGGAGACUGCGCAGAAGCAUACAGGUACUUUUACCAAUGACUAUCUCAACGCAAAUGUGUUCUUGCCACAACAAGGACGGCCUUUUCUCUCUUUACAAGCUCAGAAUUUCCCCAAUGAUACAGCAAAUUCUACCAGUAUAAUUCAUGCUUCAACAUAUCAUGCAAGCGCAAGUCAGGCACAGACUAGACAUGAUUACGGCCACCCCGUCCCGGCAGCUAAUUUUCUUUCUGGAGAUCAGUUGACAUAUGAAAACAGGUUUUUUGAUUUUUCAAACUCGCAGACCAAUCAGCCUUUUCUGUUGGGGUGCCCACAUCCUCCCAAUCGUGGCAGUGCAGCAUUCCAACAGAAUUCCCCGUUGCGCCGUUAUUACUCUGAUCCUAUCCCUAGGACAGAAGCACCCACAGCAUCACCUUUGCCUAUUACCAGACAGCAUGGUACACCAUCUUUCGGUUUCCAUGCCAAUUUGCCUCAGCAACAUGUUGUGCAUCCAGCAAGCUCGUCAGUUUGUCGUCUUAAUUCUGUGGAUUUUACAUUCAACCAUCCAGACCGGGUAGUUCAUACACCUUCCAACAGCAUAAGAGAUGCAACCCUUUCGGCAAGAAAUACAGAUAGCACAGUGGGGAGCGCUGUUCUUGGCAAUUUUAAUGCUUCACCUAGUGGUCGGUAUGUGCAGAAGAGAUCAGGCCCAGUGAAGCUCACUCCUGGGGCGAAGCAUGUACUGGUGCCAAACGAUAGCACAGGUGACGGCGAUUCUACGCCUGUGUACUCUUGUGUUUCGUUUGAUAGUAGGAGCACAAAUGCUGCAGGUCCUCAGAACAAAGGAGCAUGA
RNAcentral lists this ribosomal RNA (2496 nucleotides) under Triticum aestivum (bread wheat). RNAcentral's name for it is "partial small subunit ribosomal RNA". Lineage: Eukaryota; Viridiplantae; Streptophyta; Magnoliopsida; Poales; Poaceae. The record is from RNAcentral.